AUUGAACGCUGGCGGCAUGCCUUACACAUGCAAGUCGAACGGCAGCACGGGGGCAACCCUGGUGGCGAGUGGCGAACGGGUGAGUAACAUAUCGGAACAUACCCUAGAGUGGGGGAUAACGUAGCGAAAGUUACGCUAAUACCGCAUACGAUCUAAGGAUGAAAGUGGGGGAUCUUCGGACCUCAUGCUCAUGGAGUGGCCGAUAUCUGAUUAGCUAGUUGGUGAGGUAAAGGCUCACCAAGGCGACGAUCAGUAGCUGGUUUGAGAGAACGACCAGCCACACUGGAACUGAGACACGGUCCAGACUCCUACGGGAGGCAGCAGUGGGGAAUUUUGGGACAAUGGGGGCAACCCUGAUCCAGCAAUGCCGCGUGAGUGAAGAAGGCC
Molecule: ribosomal RNA, 387 nt
Filed under: uncultured bacterium
Lineage: Bacteria
Description: bacterial SSU rRNA
Rfam family: Bacterial small subunit ribosomal RNA
Source: RNAcentral